Molecule: long non-coding RNA, 703 nt
Organism: Populus euphratica (Euphrates poplar)
Lineage: Eukaryota; Viridiplantae; Streptophyta; Magnoliopsida; Malpighiales; Salicaceae
Exons: 2
Source: RefSeq, a predicted model, not a curated record
UAGAACCAUGUCGAGGGCGGUGAGGCCACUAUUGUUAAUGGCAUUCACUUCCAACGAGCCUGAACUUACAAUUCCACUUCCAAGGGCCAUGCACAAGUAAGUUGGGUCAAUUGGUAUGUUGGCCAUCCCCAACAUUUUCUAGACUCAGGUUCGGAUCUCGUAAGCUGAGAACCCCUGAUACGAUGCAUAACCACUACUAACGUGGAAACAAAAGCAGCUCUUUGUUUAGAUGAAGUCCUGUAACCCCUGAUACCCGAGAACCAAAGACCUAAAAUUGACGGGGCAAGAUAUACAUGGACACUUCAGUUUUCAGAAUAAACAUCGAUACGUGGUCCUUGGUGAUCAGACUAUUAGAAAUGUGAAGACAGCUUGCUUUCCUGGUCUUGGUACUUCUCUGCAUCCCAUGUGUUCGCCUGGUCUGUUCAGAAAGUUUAAGCCUCAGCAUUGGUUUGCAGCGUCGAAAAGACCAGGCCCCCGCUGCAUCAUUGGGACUAGAUUCUACAGGGUACCCUUUUUUGUUUAAAAUGGAUUGAGCUUUACAUGUAUUUUUAGGUUGAUCUCUUUUUGUUGUAAUAUAGAUGGUGCACAUUUCUAUGUUACGGUGGGCCGACCUAACAACCAAAACAUAGGCAUUCCCCUUACUGUAGGGGCUGUUGCUAAUCUUUCUGGCUAUAGUAUGAACUCAAAAGGUUCCACUUGAAAA